GGUGUUGUGGCUCAGUGGUAGAGCGUUUGCCUGGCAUGUGUGAGAAACUGGGUUCAAUUCUUAGCACCACAA
Ictidomys tridecemlineatus (thirteen-lined ground squirrel) is the source of this 72-nucleotide non-coding RNA. NCBI's taxonomy places the organism in Eukaryota, Metazoa, Chordata, Mammalia, Rodentia, Sciuridae. The record is from Rfam.